Molecule: ribosomal RNA, 253 nt
Filed under: uncultured bacterium
Lineage: Bacteria
Description: partial 16S ribosomal RNA
Rfam family: Bacterial small subunit ribosomal RNA
Source: RNAcentral
UACGUAGGGUGCGAGCGUUGUCCGGAAUUAUUGGGCGUAAAGGGCUCGUAGGCGGUCUGUUGCGUCAGGAGUGAAAACUCGGGGCUUAACCCCGAGCCUGCUUCUGAUACGGGCAGACUAGAGGUAUGCAGGGGAGAACGGAAUUCCUGGUGUAGCGGUGAAAUGCGCAGAUAUCAGGAGGAACACCGGUGGCGAAGGCGGCAUCCUGGACCGAGAUUGACACUGAUGAGCGAAAGCUAGGGGAGCAAACGGG